AAGACCUUGCACUUUUGGAGCGGCCGAUGUCUGAUUAGCUAGUUGGUGGGGUAAAGGCCUACCAAAGCUUCGAUCAGUAGCUGGUCUGAGAGGACGGCCAGCCACACUGGGGCUGAGACACGGCCCAGACUCCUACGGGAGGCAGCAGUGGGGAAUUUUGGACAAUGGGCGCAAGCCUGAUCCAGCCAUGCCGCGUGAGUGAAGAAGGCCUUCGGGUUGUAAAGCUCUUUCAGCCGGGAAGAAAAGGCUGCGACUAAUAAUCGCAGUUCAUGACGGUACCGGAAGAAGAAGCACCGGCUAACUACGUGCCAGCAGCCGCGGUAAUACGUAGGGUGCGAGCGUUAAUCGGAAUUACUGGGCGUAAAGGGUGCGCAGGCGGUUUUGUAAGUCAGAUGUGAAAUCCCCGGGCUUAACCUGGGAACU
RNAcentral lists this ribosomal RNA (423 nucleotides) under uncultured bacterium. Its description in RNAcentral is "bacterial SSU rRNA". It matches the Rfam family "Bacterial small subunit ribosomal RNA", at positions 207 to 622 of the family's 1533-position model. The record is from RNAcentral.